UCGAGGAUCUUCCGCAAUGGGCGAAAGCCUGACGGAGCAAUGCCGCGUGCGGGAUGAAGGCCCUCGGGUCGUAAACCGCUGUCACCGGGGACGAACCAAUGACGGUACUCGGAGAGGAAGCCACGGCUAACUACGUGCCAGCAGCCGCGGUAAUACGUAGGUGGCGAGCGUUGUUCGGAAUUACUGGGCGUAAAGGGUUCGUAGGGGGCUUGGAAAGUCUGGCGUGAAAUCCGGCGGCUAAACCGCCGAACUGCGCUGGAAACUUCCAGGCUUGAGCGUCGGAGAGGAUGGCGGAAUUCCUGGUGUAGCGGUGGAAUGCGUGGAUAUCAGGAAGAACACCGAAGGCGAAGGCAGCCAUCUGGACGACCGCUGACCCUGAGGAACGAAAGCGUGGGUAGCAAACAGG
RNAcentral lists this ribosomal RNA (406 nucleotides) under uncultured bacterium. RNAcentral describes it as "bacterial SSU rRNA". It matches the Rfam family "Bacterial small subunit ribosomal RNA", at positions 355 to 776 of the family's 1533-position model. The record is from RNAcentral.